AUAAGCAAAAUAAGGGCGUAUGGGGGAUGCCUUGGCUCUCAGAGGCGAUGAAAGGCGUGAUAAGCUGCGAAAAGUUACGGGGAUUGGCACACACGAUACGAUCCGUAAAUACCUGAAUGGGGCAACCCACUAUGUUGAAGACAUAGUACACCGAUAGGUGGGCAAACCCGCUGAACUGAAACAUCUAAGUAGGCGGAGGAGAAGAAAACAAAAGUGAUUCCGUAAGUAGUGGCGAGCGAACGCGGAUUAGCCCAAACCAAUGUUGUUACGGCAAUGUUGGGGUUGUAGGACCACGACAUUUCUUGCAUGAAGAAUUAGAAUCUACUGGAAAGUAGAGCCAAAGAAGGUGAUAGCCCUGUAUAAGUAAUAGAAGAUAUUAAUAGUGGUAUCCUGAGUAGGGCGGGACACGAGAAAUCCUGUCUGAAUUUGGCGGGACCAUCCGCUAAGGCUAAAUACUCCUGAGAGACCGAUAGUGAACCAGUACCGUGAGGGAAAGGUGAAAAGAACCGUGAAUAACGGAGUGAAAUAGAUCCUGAAACCAUACGCUUACAAGCGGUCGGAGCCCUUUCGUGGGGUGACGGCGUGCCUUUUGCAUAAUGAGCCUACGAGUUAACGUUGCUGGCAAGGAUAAGUGGUUAAGCCACGGAUCCGUAGCGAAAGCGAGUCUGAAUAGGGCGCUUUAGUCAGUAGUGUUAGACGCGAAACCGUGUGAUCUACCCAUGGGCAGGUUGAAGCUGUGGUAACACACAGUGGAGGACCGAACCGGUUGACGUUGAAAAGUCUUCGGAUGACCUGUGGGUAGGGGUGAAAGGCCAAUCAAACUCGGAAAUAGCUCGUACUCCCCGAAAUGCAUUUAGGUGCAGCGUUGGUCAUAAAGUUAUAUAGAGGUAGAGCUACUGAUUGGAUGCGGGGGCUUCACCGCCUACCAAUUCCUGACAAACUCCGAAUGCUAUAUAAUGUUUACCAGCAGUGAGGGCAUGGGUGCUAAGGUCCAUGUCCGAGAGGGAAAGAACCCAGACCAUCAGCUAAGGUCCCAAAAUCUAUACUAAGUUGAAAUAACGAGGUUUGUCUGCCCAGACAGCUAGGAUGUUGGCUUGGAAGCAGCCAUUCAUUUAAAGAGUGCGUAACAGCUCACUAGUCGAGCGGACGAGCAUGGAUAAUAAUCGGGCAUAAGUAUAUUACCGAAGCUAUGGAUUUAGAGUUUACUCUAAGUGGUAGGGGAGCAUUCUCACAGGGUAGAAGGUGUAUCGUAAGGUAUGCUGGACCGGUGAGAAAAGAAAAUGUAGGCAUAAGUAACGAUAAUGCGGGCGAGAAACCCGCACACCGAAAGACUAAGGUUUCCACAGCUAUGCUAAUCAGCUGUGGGUUAGUCGGGACCUAAGGCGAACCCGAAAGGGACAGUCGAUGGACAACGGGUUAAUAUUCCCGUACUACUGUUAACUGUGAUGGGGUGACGGAGUGAUGAAAGUGCCGCGAACUGACGGAAUAGUUCGUUGAAGUACCUACCUAUAAGCUGCGCAGGCAAAUCCACGCGGCUUGGGGAAAUACGAUAGUACUCGGAGUCUUCGGACAAAGAGAUAGUGCGCCUAAGGGCUUCCAAGAAAAACCUCUAAACUUCAGGUAAUAAGUACCCGUACCGCAAACCGACACAGGUAGUCGAGGAGAGAAUCCUAAGGUGCUCGAGAGAUUCAUGGCUAAGGAAUUAGGCAAAAUAGACCCGUAACUUCGGGAGAAGGGUCGCCAGCAGCAAUGCUGGCCGCAGUGAAGAGGUCCAGGCGACUGUUUAUCAAAAACACAGGGCUCUGCAAAAUCGUAAGAUGAAGUAUAGGGCCUGACACCUGCCCGGUGCUGGAAGGUUAAGAGGAGAUGUUAUCUUCGGAGAAGCAUUGAAUUGAAGCCCCAGUAAACGGCGGCCGUAACUAUAACGGUCCUAAGGUAGCGAAAUUCCUUGUCGGGUAAGUUCCGACCUGCACGAAUGGUGUAACGAUCUGGACACUGUCUCAGCCAUGAGCUCGGUGAAAUUGUAGUA
RNAcentral lists this ribosomal RNA (2029 nucleotides) under marine metagenome. RNAcentral describes it as "bacterial LSU rRNA". It matches the Rfam family "Bacterial large subunit ribosomal RNA", at positions 1 to 2049 of the family's 2925-position model. The record is from RNAcentral.